RNAcentral lists this transfer RNA (76 nucleotides) under Dallia pectoralis (Alaska blackfish). Its description in RNAcentral is "tRNA-OTHER". Lineage: Eukaryota; Metazoa; Chordata; Actinopteri; Esociformes; Umbridae. The record is from RNAcentral.
AUGUCUGUGUCGCUCAAUUGGUAGAGCAUGGCGCUAGCAACGCUGGAGGUUGUUGGUUCAAUUCCCACGCGAUAUC